This 443-nucleotide ribosomal RNA is filed under the name uncultured bacterium. RNAcentral describes it as "partial 16S ribosomal RNA". It matches the Rfam family "Bacterial small subunit ribosomal RNA", at positions 355 to 789 of the family's 1533-position model. The record is from RNAcentral.
UAGGGAAUCUUCCACAAUGGACGCAAGUCUGAUGGAGCAACGCCGCGUGAGUGAAGAAGGCUUUCGGGUCGUAAAACUCUGUUAUUGAAGAAGAACGUGUGUGACAGUAACUGGUCAUGCAGUGACGGUAUUCAAUCAGAAAGUCACGGCUAACUACGUGCCAGCAGCCGCGGUAAUACGUAGGUGGCAAGCGUUGUCCGGAUUUAUUGGGCGUAAAGCGAGUGCAGGCGGUCUUUUAAGUCUGAUGUGAAAGCCUUCGGCUUAACCGAAGAAGGGCAUCGGAAACUGGGAGACUUGAGUGCAGAAGAGGAGAGUGGAACUCCAUGUGUAGCGGUGAAAUGCGUAGAUAUAUGGAAGAACACCAGUGGCGAAGGCGGCUCUCUGGUCUGUAACUGACGCUGAGGCUCGAAAGCGUGGGGUAGCAAACAGGAUUAGAUACCCUG